UACGGAGGAUGCGAGCGUUAUCCGGAUUUAUUGGGUUUAAAGGGUGCGUAGGCGGACUGUUAAGUCAGCGGUCAAAUUGCGGGGCUCAACCCCGUACUGCCGUUGAAACUGCAUCCCUUGAGUGCGCGAAGGGUAGGCGGAAUGCGUGGUGUAGCGGUGAAAUGCAUAGAUAUCACGCAGAACUCCGAUCGCGAAGGCAGCCUACCGGCGCGCAACUGACGCUCAUGCACGAAAGCGUGGGUAUCGAACAGG
Molecule: ribosomal RNA, 252 nt
Filed under: uncultured Bacteroidales bacterium
Lineage: Bacteria; Pseudomonadati; Bacteroidota; Bacteroidia; Bacteroidales
Description: partial 16S ribosomal RNA
Rfam family: Bacterial small subunit ribosomal RNA
Source: RNAcentral